AUGAAAUUUGGGCUGAGCUGGAUUUUUACUCUGGCCCUUUUAUAUGGUGUCCGGUGUGAGGUCCAGCUGGUGGAGUCUGGUGGAGACCUGAGACAGCCUGGGGGGUCCCUGAGACUCUCAUGUAAAGGCUCUGGGUUCACCUUCAGUGGCUACUAUAUGCACUGGCUCCGUCAGUUUCCAGCAAAGAGACUGGAGUGGGUUGGUUUCAUUAGAAACAAAGCUAAUGGUCAGACAACAGAGUAUGCUGCUUCUGUGAAAGGCAGAUUCACCAUCACAAGAGACGACUCCAAAAGCACCACUUAUUUGCAAAUGAGCAGUCUGAAACCAGAGGAUGCAGCCUUGUAUUACUGUGCAAGAGACACAGUGAGAGGAAGUCAAUGUGUACUAAGGAAAAAACUCCCUUCAGAUAGAGAAUGA
Elephantulus edwardii (Cape elephant shrew) is the source of this 417-nucleotide non-coding RNA. Lineage: Eukaryota; Metazoa; Chordata; Mammalia; Macroscelidea; Macroscelididae. The record is from the annotation of a RefSeq genome assembly.